Molecule: long non-coding RNA, 2933 nt
Filed under: Sorghum bicolor (sorghum)
Lineage: Eukaryota; Viridiplantae; Streptophyta; Magnoliopsida; Poales; Poaceae
Description: long non-coding RNA (SBIC_LNC006782)
Source: RNAcentral
UGGAAAGGGGGCCUGCUUAUAUAUCCCUCCUCCAGGGGCCAGGGGGCCUGCUUAUAUAGCCCCUCCAAAUGAACGUGGGCCGUCGAAUCAAACCGACCUUAAUCGCACGGUUUUCCUUAAUCCUUUAGGUCGGUGGAGCAUAAUCCGCGAGACGGGACCUGAUUGGUCCCUGUAGCAAGGCGGGCGCCCAAGGGGGGAGGGCGGGCGCCCUGCCCCCGGGCCCGCUCGGCCUCCCGUUCGUUCCCGUGGCUACUGGAGUCUUCUAGAUGAUAGAAAAUUACGCAGCACGUUAAUAUCUCUAUGUAAACCCGACAUGUGGGCCUUUUCUCCAUAUUUCCUGAUAACCCCCUGCAGAAAUAGACAAACACCAAAACUCGUGGAAUUCUGUCAGAUGAAACCCUAAGUCUGGGUGUUGGUUGCAUUUGGAUCCUUUUCUUUAUUUAUUUGAUGAUUAAAUUUGGUACUUAAGGACCGUCAACAACUCCCCCAAGCUUACCUCUUGCUCGUCCCUGAACAAGGAUGGACUGAAGAGUUUAUGCAGUGGUUUCAUGCCUUAAAAGUACACAUGCGUUCAAGCAAGAUCUCAUCUCUGAGUUAGAGUAAACUGUUAAGACUUAAAACUUACUCAUUUUACCUUUCACCAUGGGGCUUGCAACCGUCACUUGUGUCUUGAGCAGUAAAAAGAUAGAACGGUCAAGUCAAGCGCCAUGUCUCUUAUUCUAGAUCAGCUAUAGCUCUGGAGUUUUUGCAGAUUUUCAAAUAAAACUCAGAGAUUCCUUGUAUGACUCUCUCAAAUCUCUCUUUUGUGGUAUUUCUGGAUCCUUACCAAGGCAGUAAUGGUAUAUGCUUUCUCUCAAAGUAUGUGGUAUUUUUGGUAUGAGGCAUAGUGAUAUUGCCUUCUCUCUCAUCCUAUUCUAAUAAGGUUUUGAUAUCUGGAGCUCAUAGGUGGGAGACAGAUAAUACAUACUUACAAGACAUUUAUUGCAUAGUCAAACCAUGGAUCAAGAGAAACAAGUCAAUAAGUCAAAUCAAGAUGUGCAUGUAUGGCGAAUGAAUGGUGUAUGGUGAUAACAAUUGUGAAAGUCUAAUUCUACUUCUUCUCUUUUAAGGGGAUACAUACCUUUCUUGCACUUUGAAGCUUUUUGAGGAGAAUGAGAUUCUCUAUAUUUUCUUUUUCUUUUCUCUCAGGUGGGUAUCUUAUACCCCUAAUUCUACUGUCGGACACUUGUCCAUUUUUACCUCUCGUCUCACUUUUUCUUUUCUUCGAGGUUCCGGGCACUUGCCCCUUUUUAUUUACUCAUAUUUUCUUUUUCUUUUUUUUCAGAGCACUCACCCUCCUAGAAUAAUGUAGCAAGUGGUAGUAACCAAAAUAUCUCGAGCAUUUAUUUCACAGGGAAUAAUAGGGAUAGGAAAAAGUUUUUGGCUAUUCUCUCCCGGAUAGGAGUAGAAUUAUUUUAGGUGAAUCUGGAGAUGGAAUUGAGUGGAUGUAUGUGGAUGCGUACUUCCAGAGUAGAAGUAGCAUGUAUGAGUGAACGUGGAAGUGGAUCUUGAUUUUAACUGCAUGACAAGCUUCUAAGGGUCUACACAGCUUGACCACACUCAAUGCUCAUAAGCAGUAAAAAGUAAAUGUGUGGCUCAAAGUCUAGCAAGCAUGUAUAUAUGGCUGUGGUAGGAAUUUAAACUCUCAUCAUACAGGAACUCAUCAUGCAAUAUUUUAAAAAUUUUCAAAGAUAAUAUUCUCCAGAAUUCUAGCAUUUCUAGAAACAGAUAAACAACAGCUCAACCUUCCCAUAUCAUAUCUGUUAACCACUUAGAUUUUAGAUCAAGUACUCUUCCCACAAGUUAAGGUUUAGAGCAAAUCUUAGUUCAUAAAAGUCAUGCCUAAACUUGAGAGAGAUUUCAAUUUUGAGAACUAGGUACAUGGGAGAGCAACUAUUUAUCAUAUCCAUGUAAGAGUUUUUUGUUUAAGUUCAGUUUGGCCUAGACACUUUAUUUAUUUAUUUAGCAAACUAAGCAAAGAUAUAUAUAAGCACAAAAUUUUUAUUUAGGUUUUCAUGAUUAUGCAUCUUUUUUAUUAUUUGAGUAAAGUAUAAACGCGAGUAAAAACACUUAGCUGGAUAAAUGGGGGUGCUCUCCCCCAAGCUGGAUUUUGACAUAAUUUCUUCUGAUAUAGCUAGCAGGUGACGGAGGUGUAUUUGAAUGUCGGGAGCACCCUGACAGCGAUUACUAUGUCCUCCGCCGGCUAGUCUUAUUUAAUCCUUGAAUUCUGUGGAGCUCAAAUAGACAACAAAGCUUUGUGGAACUGGUUAAGUGUUAGCAUAAAAUCUCUUAGCCUUUAUCAUAUUGAGAUUCCUCCUAAUAAAUUUUAUUUAUUUAGCAGGAUCAUGCACUUAUUAUUUUUAUAUUUUUAUUGUAAGAUGAAAACAUAUUUAUUUUAUGCCACCAUAGUCAAUAUACCUAUUGGUUUUAAACCACAAGUCUACUCACAUGGGGCUUUAGAUUUUAUGAUGCAGUGCAACGAACAAAUAUUUUCACCAGAAAUGCUUGUUGAUAUUUGUUAACGCCAUCAGGAAAUGAUCCACAAGCGCAUGGAUAUCGGUGAGCACUUCACCCGGGAGGUUAUCCAGAGUAUCGUAUUUAUAUUUUUACCACUGGGAGAAAGCGUGCAUCUGACUAACUAAAUCUAUUGCUACUACCCUUUAGGCUACAAACAAUGUGAUUUGAUGUGAGCGAUGUAUAGAGAAGACUACAACCACACUCUCAUUCUAACCUUGGUAAUGAUGAUCUACUGUUCUAUUGGGGAGGCUUACGGAAUCUAGACACCACAAAGGAUGUUCGACCCGCACCUAUAGACCCUACCGAUCCUGCUAACGGGAUUGUGGGCUACAAAGGUAGCUAUGGAAAUGUCACGUUCCUUGCUACUACCAUGGUCC